UUUAGGAUGGAAGUCAAUAGCAAACUGAAUCAUAGGCUUAGUUAGAUUCUAAAACUGUAAGCUAUAGGCUAUGUGUGGUAAAUAUGCAUGUGAGUCAGUGGUAAAUUCUGUACAAGCAUGCUAAAUCAGACUAGGAUGAUGUAAUGUUAGCUUAGCCUAGUGAAUUAGCAUGUGAGUCAAUGAUACAUUCAACAUAAGAAUGCAAAAUUAGGACAGAAAUCAAUGGUAAACUGAAUCAUAGCAUGCUAAAUUGCAUUGCGAUACUGUUAGCUAUAUGAUAAAGAACCAGGUUAAGCAAUGAUAGCUCCUGCAUUAGCAUGGUAAAUUAGACUAGGAUAAUAUGUCAUGUUAGCUUAGCCUAGUGAAUUAGCAUUUUAAUCUAUGAUUAAUUCUACACAACAAUGCAAAAUUAGGAAAGAAGUCAAUGUGGUGAACGCAGCAUUAAACCUGGAGGAGAUGCAGUUUACUCCCCUAUGAGACUAAACAUGUGACCAACCAGGAAUGGACGUGGUGGUCAUGUGACAUCAGGCUACAGGAACUGGGUCUCAGCAGCCGUCCACCCAUGAAGAGAAAAUCCAUUUUCAAAAACCCAGUUAAAAAAAAACAAGAAAAAAAAGAAGGUUGCUCCAGUAAACAGUGAUGAAACUUACGGUCGUCCUCGCCCUGCGCCCUGACCAAAAGCACCGCUGCACCGAGCAGCAGCGCGAGCCGCAAAUCCACAAAGCUGAACAUGACUAGAUGCCACCAGACAUGUAGACUCUUUGAGGCGAGAGGAAAAAAAAGUUGGGGAUGUUUUCUCUUCCUGCUACACUCCACUCAUAUACUGGUGUUUGGGGCAGGGUCCGCUCGUCUUGUUCACAAUCCUCCUGACCCCAGCAGAAAACUCCCUACUGCCUACACUCACUUUCCACCAGGGUUUUUAUAUGGGAGCCUGAAGAACUGGGAGGUGCUGGGGACUGGACCGGCUGGGGACGCACCCUCAUUACCCCGCUGCUGCACGUUUAGGGAAGACAAGAAUGGACCCCUCCUUCAAAGAAAGAAAAAAAAAAAACAGCAGAAGAAAAGAAGAAGAAGAAGAAAAAGCAGCAGGUCCCUCCUUCCAUAAUUCCACAGCAGAAGGGUUGGAGUUUGGAUCAGAGGAGGAAGGGGGGAGCAGGAGGAAACCUGAUCCUGAAGAGCAUCGGAGGGUCGGAGGAGGAUCUUCUCCUCCAGCAGCCAUGGGUUUAAUCCAGAUUUUAUUUCUGGUUCUGGUCUGCUUCCUGAUUCACUUUGAUUUCAGUUGAGUUUUAGACUCCUUCUGGGAGUCUGGCUUCAGUUUUAGGUUUAGUCCACCAAAGAAAAUCUCAGAACAUUACAGUUUUAGUCCAGUUUCAGUGUGUUGUGUUUCAGGAUAGGUUCUUGCAUUUUUUUAAGAUAAGUAUUUGGUUGUAGAUUGUGUCAUCAAAGUGUUUUUAUGGUUUAACAUGUGCUGAGCAUGGCUGCAGGCUUAGUUGGUUUUGGUUAGUAGGGUUAGCUUAUAGCUUGUAUUUGUGUUUCUGUUGUUAAUUCAGUUCUGAUGAUUAUAGAUGUUUGACUUCAGGUUUGGAAAGCCUCAUUGUUUGCAUUGUUCACAUGACUUAACAUUAACUUGUUUCAUGUGUUGGAUUGUCACCAUGUUAUAACCUCAGCACUAAAGCUUGAACUAGAGAUAGUUUUAAUAAGAACUUGUUUGUAGCCUACAUUUUCAGCUUGUCAAUCUUCGUCUCCCUCAAGCAGAAAAAUUCAGGUUCGAGACAUUUAUUUGUCCCCGAGGGGCAAAAGAAAAAAAUGGUCACCAUAUUGACAAAAUGUUAGCUUUACUUUCUUAGGGCUGUCAAUCCAUUAAAAUAUUGAAUCGAC
Molecule: long non-coding RNA, 1878 nt
Organism: Sebastes umbrosus (honeycomb rockfish)
Lineage: Eukaryota; Metazoa; Chordata; Actinopteri; Perciformes; Sebastidae
Exons: 3
Source: RefSeq, a predicted model, not a curated record